GGGGUUGUGGCUCAGCGGCAGAGCGCUCACCUAGUACGUGCGGGGCACUGAGUUCAAUCCUCAGUACCACG
This 71-nucleotide transfer RNA is filed under the name Marmota monax (woodchuck). RNAcentral describes it as "tRNA.Thr". The record is from RNAcentral. Lineage: Eukaryota; Metazoa; Chordata; Mammalia; Rodentia; Sciuridae.